RNAcentral lists this ribosomal RNA (325 nucleotides) under uncultured eukaryote. RNAcentral's name for it is "partial 18S ribosomal RNA". It matches the Rfam family "Eukaryotic small subunit ribosomal RNA", at positions 1470 to 1796 of the family's 1831-position model. The record is from RNAcentral.
CCCUUAGAUGUCCUGGGCCGCACGCGCGCUACACUGAUACGUUCAACGAGCCUUCCUUGGUCGAGAGGCCUAGGUAAUCUUUUGAACGCGUAUCGUGAUAGGGAUAGAUCAUUGCAAUUAUUGAUCUUGAACGAGGAAUUCCUAGUAAACGCGAGUCAUCAGCUCGCAUUGAUUACGUCCCUGCCCUUUGUACACACCGCCCGUCGCUCCUACCGAUUGAAUGGUCCGGUGAGGCUUUGGGAGAGCUAAAUAGACUGUGCUUCACAGAUUAUUUGGCUUGAACUUAGUCAAACCUUACUAUUUAGAGGAAGGAGAAGUCGUAACA